CUCAACCGAAGGUCCAUGGUGGGGAAAUAACUCUACUCAAGGUCCAUGGUGGGGAAACAACUCAACCGAAGGUCCAUGGUGGGGAAACAACUCUACUGAGGGGCCCAACUGGAACAGCACCACUCUUGGCCCC
This 133-nucleotide unclassified non-coding RNA is filed under the name Drosophila erecta. Its description in RNAcentral is "GG21836". The record is from RNAcentral. Lineage: Eukaryota; Metazoa; Arthropoda; Insecta; Diptera; Drosophilidae.